GUACACGCUGUGACUAGCAUAUCAAUAAGCGGAGGAAAAGAAACUAACAAGGAUUCCCCUAGUAACGGCGAGUGAAGCGGGAAGAGCUCAAAUUUGAAAUCUUAAAGGGUUUCCCUUUACGAAUUGUAGUUUAAAGAAGUGUUUUCUGUUGAGGUUUUGGUAAAAGUUCUUUGGAAUAGGACAUCAUAGAGGGUGAGAAUCCCGUACUUUGACCUUUACUUUCAACUUUGUGAUACACUUUCAAAGAGUCGGAUUGUUUGGGAAUGCAGUCCAAAAUGGGUGGUAAAUUUCAUCUAAAGCUAAAUAUUGGCGAGAGACCGAUAGCGAACAAGUACCGUGAGGGAAAGAUGAAAAGAACUUUGAAAAGAGAGUUAAACUAGUACGUGAAAUUGUCGAAAAGGGAAGCGUUUGACACCAGUGUUGUUUUUCUGAAAAUCAAUUAAAGAGCUGUUUAUGCUAAGUUGUUUAGACUUUAUCAGCUAUCUGUUUAGUUUUGAGCUUUUCUUUAAUGCACUUUUCAGUUAACAAGUCAACAUCAAUUUCUUUUGCUGUAAAAAAGCUUGAGGAAGGUGGCUUGAGAUUCGUCUUAAGUGUUUAUAGCCUCUUGCCUAUGCAGUCGGAGAGAUUGAGGUCUGCAGCGUAGAUCCUUCGGGGCUAAAUGCAUUUGUGCUAAGUUAUAGCAUUUUAUAGACAACUUGUUGACUAUGAUUUGUCUUGUAGCUUACUCGCUUAUGUUAUUUUACCUACGCUUAGGAUGUUGAAGAUGUAGCACAUCAU
RNAcentral lists this ribosomal RNA (777 nucleotides) under uncultured Neocallimastigales. Its description in RNAcentral is "partial large subunit ribosomal RNA". It matches the Rfam family "Eukaryotic large subunit ribosomal RNA", at positions 22 to 635 of the family's 3401-position model. Lineage: Eukaryota; Fungi; Neocallimastigomycota; Neocallimastigomycetes; Neocallimastigales. The record is from RNAcentral.